UACAGAGGGGGCAAGCGUUAUUCGGAAUUAUUGGGCGUAAAGGGCGCGUAGGCGGCUUGGCAAGUGGAUGGUGAAAUCCCUCGGCUUAACCGAGGAACUGCCGUCCAAACUGCUUUGCUUGAGACCGGGAGAGGUGAGUGGAAUUCCCAGUGUAGCGGUGAAAUGCGUAGAUAUUGGGAGGAACACCAGUGGCGAAGGCGGCUCACUGGACCGGUACUGACGCUGAUGCGCGAAGGUCAGGGGAGCAAACGGG
Molecule: ribosomal RNA, 253 nt
Filed under: uncultured bacterium
Lineage: Bacteria
Description: partial 16S ribosomal RNA
Rfam family: Bacterial small subunit ribosomal RNA
Source: RNAcentral